Molecule: small nuclear RNA, 85 nt
Filed under: Salvator merianae (Argentine black and white tegu)
Lineage: Eukaryota; Metazoa; Chordata; Lepidosauria; Squamata; Teiidae
Source: RNAcentral
GUGCUCGCUGCGCAGCACAUAUCCUAAAAUUGGAACGAUACUGCGCAAGGGUGACGCGCAUGUUUCUGAAACGUUCCAUUUGUUU